GAUGAAGAACGCAGCGAAAUGCGAUAAGUAGUGUGAAUUGCAGAAUUCCGUGAAUCAUCGAAUCUUUGAACGCACAUUGCGCCCCCUGGUAUUCCGGGGGGCAUGCCUGUCCGAGCGUCAUUGCUGCCCUCAAGCACGGCUUGUGUGUUGGGCCUCCGUCCUCCUCCCGGGGGACGGGCCCGAAAGGCAGCGGCGGCACCGCGUCCGGUCCUCGAGCGUAUGGGGCUUCGUCACCCGCUCUUGUAGGCCCGGCCGGCGCUUGCCGACACAUCAAUCUUUUUUCCAGGUUGACCUCGGAUCAGGUAGGGAUACCCGCUGAACUUAAGCAUAUCAAUAAGCGGAGGA
This 345-nucleotide unclassified non-coding RNA is filed under the name soil metagenome. Its description in RNAcentral is "partial contains 5.8S ribosomal RNA, internal transcribed spacer 2, and large subunit ribosomal RNA". The stretch from base 1 to 120 matches the Rfam family "5.8S ribosomal RNA", at positions 35 to 154 of the family's 154-position model. The record is from RNAcentral.